This 227-nucleotide ribosomal RNA is filed under the name uncultured Nitrobacter sp. Its description in RNAcentral is "partial 16S ribosomal RNA". It matches the Rfam family "Bacterial small subunit ribosomal RNA", at positions 1259 to 1485 of the family's 1533-position model. Lineage: Bacteria; Pseudomonadati; Pseudomonadota; Alphaproteobacteria; Hyphomicrobiales; Nitrobacteraceae. The record is from RNAcentral.
UACCCCUAGCAAAUCUCAAAAAACCGGUCUCAGUACAGAUAGGAGUCUGCAACUCGACUCCUUGAAGGUGGAAUCGCUAGUAAUCCCUGAUCAGCAGGCAGGGGUGAAUACGUUCCCGGGCCUUGUACACACCGCCCGUCACACCAUGGGAGUCGGCUGCUCCAGAAGUGGCUGCGCCAACCGCAAGGAGGCAGGUUACUAAGGAGUGGUCAGCGACUGGGGUGAAG